GCCCUUCGGGGUGGAUUAGUGGCGAACGGGUGAGUAACACGUGGGCAAUCUGCCCUUCACUCUGGGACAAGCCCUGGAAACGGGGUCUAAUACCGGAUAACACUCUGUCCCGCAUGGGACGGGGUUAAAAGCUCCGGCGGUGAAGGAUGAGCCCGCGGCCUAUCAGCUUGUUGGUGGGGUGAUGGCCUACCAAGGCGACGACGGGUAGCCGGCCUGAGAGGGCGACCGGCCACACUGGGACUGAGACACGGCCCAGACUCCUACGGGAGGCAGCAGUGGGGAAUAUUGCACAAUGGGCGAAAGCCUGAUGCAGCGACGCCGCGUGAGGGAUGACGGCCUUCGGGUUGUAAACCUCUUUCAGCAGGGAAGAAGCGAAAGUGACGGUACCUGCAGAAGAAGCGCCGGCUAACUACGUGCCAGCAGCCGCGGUAAUACGUAGGGCGCAAGCGUUGUCCGGAAUUAUUGGGCGUAAAGAGCUCGUAGGCGGCUUGUUGCGUCGGUUGUGAAAGCCCGGGGCUUAACCCCGGGUCUGCAGUCGAUACGGGCAGGCUAGAGUGUGGUAGGGGAGAUCGGAAUUCCUGGUGUAGCGGUGAAAUGCGCAGAUAUCAGGAGGAACACCGGUGGCGAAGGCGGAUCUCUGGGCCAUUACUGACGCUGA
RNAcentral lists this ribosomal RNA (658 nucleotides) under Streptomyces sanglieri. RNAcentral describes it as "bacterial SSU rRNA". It matches the Rfam family "Bacterial small subunit ribosomal RNA", at positions 75 to 749 of the family's 1533-position model. The record is from RNAcentral. Lineage: Bacteria; Bacillati; Actinomycetota; Actinomycetes; Kitasatosporales; Streptomycetaceae.